GACAAGAUAACCUGCCAUGUGUA
This 23-nucleotide non-coding RNA is filed under the name Arabidopsis thaliana (thale cress). Lineage: Eukaryota; Viridiplantae; Streptophyta; Magnoliopsida; Brassicales; Brassicaceae. The record is from RNAcentral.